GGAAGGAUCAUUACCGUGUGUUAUCCCUCCCGGCCCUCCCCUUGUGAAUGUAAUCUGCUAGUUAGUGAACUUUUGGAUCUGUUAAUAAUAAAUGAUUAGCAAGGAGAAAUAGUACCACUAGCUAGUAUUCAAUAAUUCAUCUAUGUCCAGAGUGUGUAAUAAACCAAACUAUUACAACUUUUAGCAAUGGAUCUCUUGGCUCUCGCAUCGAUGAAGAACGCAUCGAAUUGCGAUAAGUAAUGUGAAUUGCAUAUUUUCAGUGAAUCAUCUUAUCUUUGAACGCACCUUGCACUCUUUGGUAUUCCCAACAGUAUGCCUGUUUGAGUGUCAUUUAUAUUAAUCAAACUACCAUUGAUGUGAAUGGGAUAGUUUGGAGGUGGGGACUUGCUGGCUAGUUCCUAAUCGGCUUUCCUUAAAUUCAUUAGGACAUGGUACAGCCCUAUUGUAUGUGAUAAUGAUCAUCCAACCUGGAAGUGUUUGAUUUAUGAUGGAUAGAUAUCUCUAUCUAUCUAAUUAAUGAUACCAUGACCUCAAAUCAGGUAGGACUACCCGCUGAACUUAAGCAUAUCAAUAAGCGGAGGAA
This 583-nucleotide ribosomal RNA is filed under the name uncultured fungus. Its description in RNAcentral is "eukaryotic LSU rRNA". The stretch from base 176 to 330 matches the Rfam family "5.8S ribosomal RNA". The record is from RNAcentral. Lineage: Eukaryota; Fungi.